Molecule: long non-coding RNA, 834 nt
Organism: Oncorhynchus keta (chum salmon)
Lineage: Eukaryota; Metazoa; Chordata; Actinopteri; Salmoniformes; Salmonidae
Exons: 5
Source: RefSeq, a predicted model, not a curated record
UGUUGAUAUGGUGCAGACAGGUGUUGAUAUGGUACAGAAAGGUGUUGAUAUGGUGCAGACAGGUGUUGAUAUGGUACAGAAAGGUGUUGAUAUGGUGCAGACAGGUGUUGAUAUGGUGCAGACAGGUGUUGAUAUGGUACAGAAAGGUGUUGAUAUGGUGCAGAAAGGUGUUGAUAUGGUGCAGACAGGUGUUGAUAUGGGGCAGACAGGUGUUGAUAUGGGGCAGACAGGUGUUGAUAUGGUACAGAAAGGUGUUGAUAUGGUGCAGAAAGGUGUUGAUAUGGUGCAGACAGGUGUUGAUAUGGUGCAGACAGGUGUUGAUAUGGUGCAGACAGGUGUUGAUAUGGUGCAGAAAGGUGUUGAUAUGGUGCAGAAAGGUGUUGAUAUGGUGCAGACAGGUGUUGAUAUGGUGCAGAAAGGUGUUGAUAUGGUGCAGACAGGUGUUGAUAUGGUGCAGACAGGUGUUGAUAUGGUGCAGAAAGGUGUUGAUAUGGUGCAGAAAGGUGUUGAUAUGGUGCAGACAGGUGUUGAUAUGGGGCAGACAGGUGUUGAUAUGGUGCAGAAAGGUGUUGAUAUGGGGCAGACAGGUGUUGAUAUGGUACAGAAAGGUGUUGAUAUGGUGCAGACAGGUGUUGAUAUGGGGCCGCUUUUGAAGCUGCAACCUUCAGUUUUAGUGAAAUGUUGGAAAUGGUUCCAACUAAAUGUGUUGCCAUGUUCAAAUAAGGAGACUGGCAGACGACCUGUUUCAUACUUCUCUCCUUGUCGUCCCCUCUCUCCCCUGCCGUCCCCUCUCUCUCCCCUGCCGUCCCCUCUCUCUCCCCUGCCGUCCCCUCU